This is a ribosomal RNA of Lates calcarifer (barramundi perch), 119 nucleotides long. The record is from Ensembl. Lineage: Eukaryota; Metazoa; Chordata; Actinopteri; Centropomidae.
GGCUACGGCCACACCACCCUGAGCGCGCCCGAUCUCGUCUGAUCUCGGAAGCUAAGCAGGGUCGGGCCUGGUUAGUACUUGGAUGGGAGACCGCCUGGGAAUACCAGGUGCCGUAAGCU